AUUGAACGCUGGCGGCGGGCCUAACACAUGCAAGUCGAACGAGUGGCGGACGGGUGAGUAAUGUCUGGAAACCUGCCUGAUGGAUGGGGAUCACGACUGGAAAAGGUAGCUAAUACCGCAUAACAUCCGAUGUGCCCAGAUGGGAUUAGCUUGGUGGGGGGGUAACGGCUCACCAAGGCGACGAGCCAUAGCUGGUCUGAGCGGAUGACCAGGCACACUGGAAAUGAGACAAGGGCCAGACGCCUACGGGAGGCAGCAGUGGGGAAUAUUCCACAAUGGGCGAAAGCCUGACGCAGCAAUGCCGCGUGUAUGAAGAAGGCUUUCGGGUUGUAAAGUACUUUCAGCGGGGAGGCGUUACCCGCAGAAGAAGCACCGGCUAACUCCGUGCCAGCAGCCGCGGUAAUAC
This 406-nucleotide ribosomal RNA is filed under the name uncultured bacterium. RNAcentral's name for it is "partial 16S ribosomal RNA". It matches the Rfam family "Bacterial small subunit ribosomal RNA", at positions 29 to 526 of the family's 1533-position model. The record is from RNAcentral.